GAAGGAUUCUUUAUGGAAUUAAACCUCAACCCAUAACCAAAUUCGAUAAAUCAAAGAUGAGAACCAAUUUGGUCAUACUAUUUGGGCGCGAUUGAGAUUUCUAUAAUUUUUCAAUUAGGGUUUCGAUUUGGUCAUUCAUACUACUUGAAAGAAGGAAGAGAAAGACGAGAGGUUGACGCUAAUAAAUAGCAAAAAAGGGACACUCAACCAAAUUUUCUUCCAUCUCUUCGAUCCCGUUCCUCGCUGAAAAUUGUCGCUAGUAGUUGUGGGAGAAACCAUCGAUGUGGAUAUGUACAGAAGAAAUAUAAAUGAGGUGAAAUUUGACCGAGGCUAAUUUUGCUAAUAGGUGACAAAAAUGACCCGAGAGUAGCCAAAAACAAUGGAAAUCUUAUUUAAGAGUAUUGACAGAUUGUUGUUCCAUUAGAUUUCUAGCAAUCCAUCAUUUUUGAAACCUUUUCAAUGUAUGCUAACUCUUGA
Nicotiana attenuata is the source of this 477-nucleotide long non-coding RNA. RefSeq lists it as uncharacterized. The transcript is spliced from 3 exons. The record is from RefSeq and is a predicted model, not a curated record. Lineage: Eukaryota; Viridiplantae; Streptophyta; Magnoliopsida; Solanales; Solanaceae.